GACCGUUGACACCAAGAAAAUACCAAAUUUCAAUAAUUGAAUUCCCUCAUCAAUGCAAAUAUCCAAACUGUCAUACUCAAGUGAAAACCCACAAAUUAUACUGAUGAGACUAUAACAAAUUGGAAACUACUUUGACAACAUCCCUCGUCCUAGCUUUUUAGGAUAACAACUUAGAUUGUGUUUAAGCAUGUAUUAAAUGGCUACCCUUUAAGUCUAACAAACUGAACCUUAUUAGUUAAGACUAACAACUGAC
This 253-nucleotide unclassified non-coding RNA is filed under the name Hevea brasiliensis (rubber tree). Lineage: Eukaryota; Viridiplantae; Streptophyta; Magnoliopsida; Malpighiales; Euphorbiaceae. The record is from RNAcentral.